RNAcentral lists this ribosomal RNA (800 nucleotides) under uncultured bacterium. Its description in RNAcentral is "bacterial SSU rRNA". It matches the Rfam family "Bacterial small subunit ribosomal RNA", at positions 8 to 787 of the family's 1533-position model. The record is from RNAcentral.
AGAGUUUGAUCCUGGCUCAGAAUCAACGCUGGCGGCGUGCCUAACACAUGCAAGUCGGACGCGAAAGCGGCUUCGGCCGCAAGUAGAGUGGCAAACGGGUGAGUAACACGUGGGUGACCUGCCUUCGAGUGGGGGAUAACGUCUCGAAAGGGACGCUAAUACCGCAUAACAUCCCGCCUUUGGACAGGCGGAGAUCAAAGCCGGGGACCGCAAGGCCUGGCGCUUGGAGAGGGGCCCGCGCCGGAUUAGCUAGUUGGUGAGGUAACGGCCCACCAAGGCGACGAUCCGUAGCCGGCCUGAGAGGGCGGACGGCCACACUGGGACUGAGACACGGCCCAGACUCCUACGGGAGGCAGCAGUGGGGAAUUGUUCGCAAUGGGCGCAAGCCUGACGACGCAACGCCGCGUGGAGGACGAAGAUCUUCGGAUCGUAAACUCCUGUCGAGCGGGACGAAAGAUCCGGGACCUAACACGUCUCGGGAGUGACGGUACCGCUAAAGGAAGCCCCGGCUAACUCCGUGCCAGCAGCCGCGGUAAUACGGGGGGGGCCAGCGUUGUUCGGAAUUACUGGGCGUAAAGGGCGCGUAGGCGGCCUUCUAAGUCAGACGUGAAAUCCCUCGGCUCAACCGGGGAACUGCGUCUGAUACUGGAAGGCUUGAAUCCGGGAGAGGGAUGCGGAAUUCCAGGUGUAGCGGUGAAAUGCGUAGAUAUCUGGAGGAACACCGGUGGCGAAGGCGGCAUCCUGGACCGGUAUUGACGCUGAGGCGCGAAAGCCAGGGGAGCAAACGGGAUUAGAUACCC